This 372-nucleotide ribosomal RNA is filed under the name uncultured eukaryote. RNAcentral's name for it is "SSU rRNA". It matches the Rfam family "Eukaryotic small subunit ribosomal RNA", at positions 587 to 972 of the family's 1831-position model. The record is from RNAcentral.
AUCAUUACAAGCGUAUAUUAAAAUUGUUGCAUUUAAAAAGCUCGUAGUUGAAUAAUAGAUAGAGAAAAUAUAUUUAUAAUAAAUAGAAAUAUUUAUUAAUAUAAAUUCUUCUAUCUUUUAUUUAUUAAUAGUAAAAUAUUAAUAAAUCAUUUACUGUGAACAAAUUAGAGUGUUUAAAGCAAAUUGUAAUAAUAAUUGAAUAUUAUUAGCAUGGAAUAAUAAUAUAUGAUUAUAAUUAUAUAUUAUGGUAAUAUAAUUGUAAUAAUGAUUAAUAGGGAUAGUUGGGGGUAUUCAUAUUUCAUAGUCAGAGGUGAAAUUCAAGGAUUUAUGAAAGAUGAACAAAUGCGAAAGCAUUUACCAAGGAUGUUUUCA